Molecule: long non-coding RNA, 297 nt
Filed under: Setaria viridis
Lineage: Eukaryota; Viridiplantae; Streptophyta; Magnoliopsida; Poales; Poaceae
Description: long non-coding RNA (SVIR_LNC009389)
Source: RNAcentral
UUAACUUUUGGCCAAUACAAAAGUAGUACAACUUUUAAAAACAAUGAACAUUUGUUAUUUAAGCUUUCUCUGAAUUUGAGUGGAAGAAGUUCAAAUUUUGAAUCAAAGUUCAGCUAAUUCAGGGCAAAUUCAAAAAUCAGCCUAAGCCGGCAUUCUACCAAACUUUGCCCAGCUCACACUCCAAAUCGGUUGAGGUUUUCACCAGUUGACUUUUGUAAGAAGUAUAGCCUAUAGUCCCAACAACAACUUUUAUAUUUUAAAAAUUUGACGUUUGAAUUUGAAAGUGGGAGAAAAUCA